This 521-nucleotide long non-coding RNA is filed under the name Oncorhynchus kisutch (coho salmon). Its description in RNAcentral is "lncRNA (ENSOKIG00005047963.1)". Lineage: Eukaryota; Metazoa; Chordata; Actinopteri; Salmoniformes; Salmonidae. The record is from RNAcentral.
AUGAAUCCGAUUAAAUGUGAUAGGGUGAAGGCCCCAGUGCAGCAGCAACAGCACAUGAUGGAGACGAUGAUGAGGAGGAGACCAUCUCUCUGGAUUCCAGAAGGCAUGAGGACCCAGAUGCUAUACAGUGGGAAAACCAGCCUGGCAACAAGCUCACAAGCUAUCAGAAAGUUGUAUGGCAACCACCUCCGGCGCCAAAUAGAACUGGCAGACAUAGACAUUCAGUACAAGAAGAAAAAGAUGGAAAAUCUUGCACUGGAGUUCGAAAUAAAAAAGAGGACAAUUAGGAAACUGGACCUUGAAAUAAAAAACCUUGAGAGGGAGCUCCAAGAAGAUGACACAGCUCAAAAUAAAAAUUUGGUAUAUUCUUGUAAAGUCAAGUGAGCCAUGACAUAUGAGCUCUUAUUGUGAGCACACAGGACGGUGGCAUCUUUCUAAGGUUUUUUUUAUUUUCCCAGCAAUCAGUACAACCAAGUCAUCGUUAUAAGGCAUCGCCCUCUUUUGCCCACCCCCCCAGCACC